Oncorhynchus kisutch (coho salmon) is the source of this 1533-nucleotide RNA transcript. It is a transcript of the gene named dCTP pyrophosphatase 1 pseudogene, with no coding region annotated. Lineage: Eukaryota; Metazoa; Chordata; Actinopteri; Salmoniformes; Salmonidae. The record is from RefSeq and is a predicted model, not a curated record. The transcript has a single exon.
ACACCUUCCGGCUACAAGAGUGGCGGGAGUUUUACCCAGAUUGUUGUCGAGGUUGGUUGUUUACAGCGAAUUAAGUGUUGAUCCGUGCAAUAGUUUGGUGUAAAAUUGACAAAGCAAUGACAAUGAACGGCGAUGGAGUGCAUGGACUGAACGGAGAGACGGUGGCCCUAUCUGAAGCUAAACACAUCAAUGGCACUCCUAGCAAGUCAAAAAUAGCCUGUGAAAACGGCGAGGCAGACAUCCACGCUGCCAAGCGAAAUGGAACUAAGAGAAGAACCCCAUCUGAUACGUUCUCCUUCACUGCCGAACCUACCAUCGAUGACAUACGACGGAUGCAAGCGGAAUUUACUGACGAGCGAGACUGGAACCAGUUCCACCAACCCCGCAACCUCCUGCUAGCUAUGGUCGGAGAAGUGGGCGAGGUAUCUGAGCUUUUCCAGUGGCGUGGCGAGGUGACUGAAGGACUUCCCGGCUGGACCGACUCCGAGCGCGAGCACCUGGCACAUGAACUCAGCGACGUCCUCAUCUACCUAGUUGAGUUGGCCGAGAAAUGUCAUAUCGAUUUACCCCAAGCAGUGCUGCGCAAAAUGGCCCUAAAUAGGCUGAAGUACCCAGCCAGCAAGGUGCAUGGCUCGUCUAAGAAGUACACCGAAUACAAGGACUGAGCGAGUGCAUGCUGCCAUGCCCAAAUGGCGCAAUGAACACACCCCUGCAUUUACAAAGUAGACGAGAACUGAAAAAUACUGUUCAACUUCAGUUAAUGGCAAUGGGUAAUGUUUAUACAAUCUUGUAUUUAGGGCACUACUGUAUCUCAAUAGUUGGUCAAACUGCCCUUAGCUGCUUUUAGUUUUAUAAAGUGCGUUUUAAAUCCAGUGUUUUUCUUUAACUAUAUGGGUGUUCAUCUUUUGACUGACCUCUGAUGCUUUUUUCGUUUUGACUGUUCCCCAAAGUCAAAUUGUAAGAAGUCCAUUUUAUUUUUCAUAGUAUGAGUAACUACAUUUAAAUCUCUUAAAUCCAUAUUGUUGUCAAUGAUCGAUGGAAGCUAUGUUCUUUUGUUGCUUUAAAUUCAAUGCAUGUGUGCGACUGAUAGAAUCUUCUGCCCAAAAGUAAAAGUGCCUUCAACUAUACUUGCUGUCCUGCAGAUGCUAUGUAAUUUAUGUAUAUUGACUCUGUAAUGCAUUUAAUCAAUCAGAUGUAAUCACUAUUGCCUUAUUUACUUCCCUGGGAAAUGAGCUACAAAGGGAAAUGGGGAGAUUAGCACACGCACACAACGCUACUAUGGGAGAUGAGGGAAAUUAGUGAGUUACUCUUGUAGCGGUUCAUUUUGAUAAGCAGUCUGUUAAACAGUAGUGUUUCAUGGCCCCAGGCCUAUGGUUAGCGAUCCAAUAUGUAGGCUAGCCAGUGUAUAUUUGGACACAUCCCAUGGUUUAAUGAGCUACAAGUAUACUGAAAAAUGCAACAAUUUCAAAGAUGUUACUGAGUUGUAAUUCAUAUGAGGAUAUUAGUUGAUUGAAAUAAAUAAAUUCAUUAGGC